Molecule: long non-coding RNA, 1472 nt
Filed under: Anser brachyrhynchus (Pink-footed goose)
Lineage: Eukaryota; Metazoa; Chordata; Aves; Anseriformes; Anatidae
Description: lncRNA (ENSABRG00000011277.1)
Source: RNAcentral
UGCUGUAUGUGGAUUUCUAACAACAUGAUAAAACAUUCUCAAGAAUAACUUUGUUUCAUCACUAUUUAAAAACCUUGGUGCCUCCCAAACACAGCACAGAAAUCGAGCAGAGGAGAUAGACUUUGGAGACAAAACACACCAACUAAAACGUAUCGUCGUGCACAAACAUGUUACCAGAAACAAUGGAAUAAGAUCAACAAUAUGUAUUAGAAAACUUCUGAAACUAUAUCAUAAGAACACCACCCAAAAACCCAAGGUGUCCCUUUUCUCUCAGCAAUCCCUGGGCAAUCAAGGGAGACUACUUCCUCUUGAUACUCAGGCUGAAAACAAUGGUUCAAAGAAGAUUAAUUCCAAGGAUUUUUGAACAGGUCUAUGCUAGCCAUCUUAAACUGCGAUAGCAAUGGAGCAAGCCGUACAACUUGACAGGUCAACAACAUCAUGACAUGGCGGUGCCAACCGCAGCCGCUCCUCGCGGCACAACAUGGUGCCCUGCCCCUCACACCGCGCCACUGCCGCACUCUUACCUUACCAGGGGCCACAGACCCUGCCGGAUUCUGGAAGUGUCAGCCUCAAAAGAAAGCACAGCCCAAGCCGCUGCUCACUUCACCUUGCUCUCCCUGCAGACAGCACGGCAGCCCACAGCCAAGUAGUGCCAGCGCUGGAAGCUUCCUGAAGGUGGGCGGCAACCGGGGCGGCACAGCCGGGCCUUGCCUCACAGUGGCCCGCAUGCUGUCCCUGCGCUGUGGCUGCCCAGCUGCUGGCAGGCGUUUUCGUGGCUUCUGCAAGCAACUUGUGCAGGACUUGUGCAGAGGGACAAUCUGUCAUGAAAAUACCAGGAGACAGAAACAUACCUCUGUGCAGUCCCUUCAAUUGUUCACUGCAGACACAAAGGAUAGAGCAAAGAAAACAGGAAUUAGGAUAAGGACAGGAGUCCUGUGCUGCAGUGCCUUGCUGAAGAAAAUAAUAACAAGAAUCACUGAAAAGAAGAGAAAAUAAUAUAAGACUUAGCUGUGCGGGCUCUAUUUGGCAGAGUUUCCUUUUAGGCCCUAAUCACAGGAACGAGGUUUGUUCUAAAUUGUUUGCAUUUGCUUCCGAAUGUCUGGAAAUUUGCUCGUUAGGUGUUCAGGUGGAGGAAAAAGCUUUCUCAGGUGCAGAAAGAAGUAAUGCUGUGCAGCCAGUGGAAAGGAACAUUCAAACAAUUAUACACCCUACUGCUUCAAGUCAUAUUAAAACAAUCUAUAAGCUAAUUCAAUGCUAACACAAUGUCUCAUAAAUGGUAAGCAGGCCGGAUGAACAUCCUGGCUGAGCAGGCUGGAUGAACACCUUUCCAAGUUGAGAAAUAGAGUAGCACUGCAUUGUUCAGCAAGGUUUUAACUGCCACUUCUGUGUUUAAAGCGGGUAUAUAAAAUCAGUGUUUCUAACACAGAUUUAUUUCCGGAAUGUGUCAGACAGUUCAGAAAAGAUUAUAUUCU